UUAACACAUGCAAGUCGAACGAGAAUCUACUGAAGGAGGAUUCGUCCAACGGAUGUAGAGGAAAGUGGCGGACGGGUGAGUAACGCGUGAGGAACCUGCCUUGAAGAGGGGGACAACAGUUGGAAACGACUGCUAAUACCGCAUGAAGCAUAGGGGUCGCAUGAUUCUUAUGCCAAAGAUUUAUCGCUUCAAGAUGGCCUCGCGUCUGAUUAGCUAGUUGGCGGGGUAACGGCCCACCAAGGCGACGAUCAGUAGCCGGACUGAGAGGUUGAACGGCCACAUUGGGACUGAGAUACGGCCCAGACUCCUACGGGAGGCAGCAGUGGGGAAUAUUGGGCAAUGGGCGCAAGCCUGACCCAGCAACGCCGCGUGAAGGAAGAAGGCUUUCGGGUUGUAAACUUCUUUUAAGAGGGAAGAGCAGAAGACGGUACCUCUAGAAUAAGCCACGGCUAACUACGUGCCAGCAGCCGCGGUAAUACGUAGGUGGCAAGCGUUGUCCGGAUUUACUGGGUGUAAAGGGCGUGCAGCCGGGUCUGCAAGUCAGAUGUGAAAUCCAUGGGCUCAACCCAUGAACUGCAUUUGAAACUGUAGAUCUUGAGUGUCGGAGGGGCAAUCGGAAUUCCUAGUGUAGCGGUGAAAUGCGUAGAUAUUAGGAGGAACACCAGUGGCGAAGGCGGAUUGCUGGACGAUAACUGACGGUGAGGCGCGAAAGUGUGGGGAGCAAACAGGAUUAGAUACCCUGGUAGUCCACACUGUAAACGAUGAAUACUAGGUGUGCGGGGACUGACCCCCUGCGUGCCGCAGUAAACACAAUAAGUAUUCCACCUGGGGAGUACGAUCGCAAGGUUGAAACUCAA
RNAcentral lists this ribosomal RNA (857 nucleotides) under uncultured bacterium. RNAcentral's name for it is "bacterial SSU rRNA". It matches the Rfam family "Bacterial small subunit ribosomal RNA", at positions 48 to 904 of the family's 1533-position model. The record is from RNAcentral.